UACAGAGGGUGCAAGCGUUGUUCGGAAUUAUUGGGCGUAAAGCGCGUGUAGGCGGCUUUGCAAGUCGGGUGUGAAAGCCCUCAGCUCAACUGAGGAAGUGCGCCCGAAACUGCAGAGCUUGAGUACCGGAGAGGAUGGCGGAAUUCCCCAAGUAGAGGUGAAAUUCGUAGAUAUCUGGAGGAACACCGGUGGCGAAGGCGGCAUCCUGGACCGACACUGACGCUGAGGAGCGAAAGCCAGGGGAGCAAACGGG
RNAcentral lists this ribosomal RNA (253 nucleotides) under uncultured bacterium. RNAcentral describes it as "partial 16S ribosomal RNA". It matches the Rfam family "Bacterial small subunit ribosomal RNA", at positions 524 to 776 of the family's 1533-position model. The record is from RNAcentral.